CUGGUUUGGAGACACAUGCUGAUGUUUAACAAAACAGCAGCAGGAGAACCACUGGCAGGAGAAACAACAGGAAGUUUAGAAAGUUCAGGGCAUUGAAAGACACCGACUGGAACUACAAGCUGUGAGAGGUGUGGAUAAAAGCCAAACAAGACAGGUUGUCAACAGAGAAGACCUACAAUGACAAUCAAGAUGUGGCGCUGGCUGACGAUAACUCUGCUCCUCGUUGUGGUUGUUCUGCUGUUGCUUCACUGGCAGAACAUCAUUACACUCACAGAUGU
Molecule: long non-coding RNA, 278 nt
Organism: Cyprinodon tularosa
Lineage: Eukaryota; Metazoa; Chordata; Actinopteri; Cyprinodontiformes; Cyprinodontidae
Exons: 4
Source: RefSeq, a predicted model, not a curated record